GGGGUUUUAGCUCAGUUGGGAGAGCACCUGCCUUGCACGCAGGGGGUCAUCGGUUCGAGCCCGAUAAGCUCCACCA
Molecule: transfer RNA, 76 nt
Filed under: Erysipelothrix sp.
Lineage: Bacteria; Bacillati; Bacillota; Erysipelotrichia; Erysipelotrichales; Erysipelotrichaceae
Also listed under: 3 other names
Description: tRNA-Ala
Rfam family: tRNA
About the family: Transfer RNA (tRNA) molecules are approximately 80 nucleotides in length. Their secondary structure includes four short double-helical elements and three loops (D, anti-codon, and T loops).
Source: RNAcentral